CACUCAAUGCAAAAGACGGCCUUCCCCAAAGAUAUCGCCGCCGAUUUCUCCGACUCUGCUGCUCCCGUGCUGGUGACCUCUUGAAUUCUCGAUCAGUUCUCUCGUUGGCCCAUUUCCUUGGCAUCUUUUUUUGCGGACCUUCUGGUAGAGUGACGCAAAUCCUUUGUUAGCACAUUUUUUGCGGAUCGAAUUAACACAUUUGGAAAAGCGAGAUCUUUUUCGCCCGCAAUUAUGACUCAUUUAACAUCAGCUAUAUACUCGAGAAGAUAGCAAUUGAUGGUUAUUCUCUGAUAGAAAGUUAUUUUCUUUUGGGUGCACACGGCUGAUACAUCAGCUUUGGCUGAUUAAAAAUGUCAGACCGUGAGCCGAUUGAUACAAAGCAGUACCUCGAGGAAACUUGCAAGCCAAAGUGCAAAUUGGAGCCGUGAUCCAAGUACCGACAGUUAAGAUGAGGAACUUUACGAGGUUACAGGUCCAUAGUGCUGAAGUUUGUUAGAGCACCAUUAGUCGCCAUGUGUUGAGAGAAUCAAAGAAGAUGAGACUGGGCAUAAGCAUUGUACCGGGCAAUAUUUUGAUUACUGGAUGUGUAUCGACAACUGUGUUGUGCCAAAAGUUUUUGACAAGCCGAAGUGAUAGGAGAAGAAAUUAUUGCACCAUGAGUUCAAGUGAGUUACAUUUUGAGCUUUAAUAGGAGGUUUAAUGUUCAUUUUGCCACUACCAUGCACCUCCAAGCACCAAACUUGUACUUGGUCCUAAAACCAGUUGGCCUCUCUUCUCAAGAACAAUCCCUAGUGGGUAUGUUUUGGAAACCUCUGCAAGAAGGUAAUAAAGAGCAAUUCUCUGCAAGCAACUGAUCAGACAAUGAGUUUACUGAAUCUUUUUUGACAAAUGGAGUAAAAGGA
Musa acuminata subsp. malaccensis (wild Malaysian banana) is the source of this 902-nucleotide non-coding RNA. Lineage: Eukaryota; Viridiplantae; Streptophyta; Magnoliopsida; Zingiberales; Musaceae. The record is from RefSeq and is a predicted model, not a curated record.